This 425-nucleotide ribosomal RNA is filed under the name uncultured bacterium. Its description in RNAcentral is "partial 16S ribosomal RNA". It matches the Rfam family "Bacterial small subunit ribosomal RNA", at positions 354 to 796 of the family's 1533-position model. The record is from RNAcentral.
GUGGGGAAUCUUGCGCAAUGGGCGAAAGCCUGACGCAGCCAUGCCGCGUGAAUGAUGAAGGUCUUAGGAUUGUAAAAUUCUUUCACCGGGGACGAUAAUGACGGUACCCGGAGAAGAAGCUCCGGCUAACUUCGUGCCAGCAGCCGCGGUAAUACGAAGGGGGCUAGCGUUGCUCGGAAUUACUGGGCGUAAAGGGCGCGUAGGCGGACAGUUUAGUCAGAGGUGAAAGCCCAGGGCUCAACCUUGGAAUUGCCUUUGAAACUGGCUGUCUUGAGUACGGGAGAGGUGGGUGGAACUCCGAGUGUAGAGGUGAAAUUCGUAGAUAUUCGGAAGAGCAACAGUGGCGAAGGCGACUCACUGGCCCGUUACUGACGCUGAGGCGCGAAAGCGUGGGGAGCAAACAGGAUUAGAUACCCGGGUAGUCC